UUAAGUUCAGCGGGUAUUCCUACCUGAUCCGAGGUCAACCUUGAGAAAGUUUCCCUGUGAAGGGAGAAGACCGGAGCCUGGGUACCCAUGCGUCCGGUACGUGCUCAGUUAAGAAGCUCAGUGUACCGGGGGUCCCGCGAGGCCGCCGUCAUUGUCUUUAGGAGGGGUCGAGGGGACUCGACCAGGCCGUCCAACACCAA
Molecule: unclassified non-coding RNA, 200 nt
Filed under: Exophiala sp.
Lineage: Eukaryota; Fungi; Ascomycota; Eurotiomycetes; Chaetothyriales; Herpotrichiellaceae
Description: partial internal transcribed spacer 2
Source: RNAcentral